Mercenaria mercenaria is the source of this 1486-nucleotide long non-coding RNA. RefSeq lists it as uncharacterized. The record is from RefSeq and is a predicted model, not a curated record. Lineage: Eukaryota; Metazoa; Mollusca; Bivalvia; Venerida; Veneridae. The transcript is spliced from 4 exons.
AAAAAAUGUUAGUUGGUGGAACAAUUGUGGCAGUAGAACUACCUUGCUGGUACCCUAACGAAGGCGGUCACCAGAUGUGCAUUGAAACCCUAUCGAACCCUUGCGUUAACAUGGUAAUCAGCCGUUAUCAACAAGGCAAGAUAGUGCAUGGUUAUAGUGGAAUUCAAGCCUUGGUGGAACUUCCUUCUGUAUUUGUCCCGUCUUGUUGAUGGUAGACAGCUGUUCAACACCUCGUACACAACAGAGAAACCCCCUCGGACGAAGACUUCGUUCAGAUCUAAAUGGGCAAGGAGACAGUGUUGCCAUUAUUGAAAGACACAGGAAAAGACACAGGAAAGGAAGCAAUGACAGAAAACAAAUAUCACCAUACCGUCUUGUCUUUAAUGUUUCCAACAGCUGACAGUCCGAUGUAAGCCAGAUUCACAAGUAAGAAGUAUCUGCAGAAGGAAGACCCAAUUAUGGUAGAUCCACGACAGUCCUGGCACAAGCAAACAUGGCAUCACCACAGCCCCGACACAAGCCUUGUUAAACAGAUUAGAUAUGAACUGACAUGUAUAUAAUUAUACCCUCAUGUAUAUGAUUAUACCCUCGUGUACAAAGUACAUGGGAUUAUAUUGGAGUCACACAUGUCAGCAGGCCCGUUCGACCGUUCGCCUAUCUGUCCAUCAUGUCUGCUGGGAAGAUUAAAAAAAACUGGCUUCAUUUAUUAGCCUUAUCAAGAAUGUUCGUUGUGCACAACCCAAGUCACUAGGCCCAAGGUCAGUAUUAUUCUUGGGGGACAAAGUUGAAAUAACUUUAAUUUAGUGUCCGCUCCAUAUUGUCUAAACUGCAACGAAUAUUUAGGUCAAGCAUUCGUUAUUGUACUCGCCCUGCCUUCAGGGUCACUGUCACCGUUAAUUUCAGUUAAAAAAUUUAUAUGAUUCUCAAAGUCACUAUAUUUUCUUGACUACAUCAAACUUCACAUAAGGAAUGAUUGUGGUAAAACACAGACAUUUAUUUGUUAGGGGACAAGCAUCCAAAAGGUCAAAGUUACUGGGGUCAUAUUUUUUAAUUGUGCUGGUUAAAUCUUAGAUUGUUUCUUAUAUCUUCUUAUUCACCUGCUCCUACCCCCUACCCUACCUCCAAAUGGAAAAGAGCCUUAGUUUCAUCACUCACGCUUACUUAUAUCCUAUAACAAUAAAUAUUGGUCAGCAUUUCCGAAUAAUCACGCGGGCUUUCCUUCCAACAGUUCUUGAUAUAAAAUUAGGAUUAGUAAAUAGAUGUAAGCACUCACAACCUAGUUCAUUAGGUCAAAGGUCAAGUUCUGAAGAGAUCGCACCAUAUUGUCUAAUCUAAUAAAGUAAGCACUAACUGUCAAUUCCAUCUAGCCGAAAUAGGAAAAGCACAACAUAUGCCACUUGGUUAAAGGUCAGUGUGACACAUAGGAGGUCAAAGGUCAAAUAGCUUUGUGUCUGCUACAUAUCUUGUAACCCCAUUUUCCUUACAC